Sapajus apella (tufted capuchin) is the source of this 87-nucleotide long non-coding RNA. RefSeq lists it as uncharacterized. NCBI's taxonomy places the organism in Eukaryota, Metazoa, Chordata, Mammalia, Primates, Cebidae. The record is from RefSeq and is a predicted model, not a curated record. The transcript has 3 exons.
AGUACUAUUCUUUCUGUUUUCCCAAGUGUCAGAACCACUGAUUGGAUUUCAACAGUUUUAUAGAAAUAAAAAGUGUCAGAACCAUGA